Molecule: ribosomal RNA, 585 nt
Filed under: Hepatozoon sp.
Lineage: Eukaryota; Apicomplexa; Hepatozoidae
Description: bacterial SSU rRNA
Rfam family: Eukaryotic small subunit ribosomal RNA
Source: RNAcentral
GUUUCUGACCUAUCAGCUUUCGACGGUAUGGUAUUGGCUUACCGUGGCAGUGACGGUUAACGGGGGAUUAGGGUUCGAUUCCGGAGAGGGAGCCUGAGAAACGGCUACCACAUCUAAGGAAGGCAGCAGGCGCGCAAAUUACCCAAUUCUAACAGCAUAAGAGAGGUAGUGACAAGAAAUAACAAUACAAGGUAAUUAAAUUGCUUUGUAAUUGGAAUGAUAGAAAUUUAAACACUUUUUAAAGUAUCAAUUGGAGGGCAAGUCUGGUGCCAGCAGCCGCGGUAAUUCCAGCUCCAAUAGCGUAUAUUAAAAUUGUUGCAGUUAAAAAGCUCGUAGUUGAAUUUCUGUUAAAAAUAACCGGUCUGCUUUUAUUAAAAGUGGUAUCUUGGUGUGUUUUUAGCAAUAAUGUCCUUUGAAAUGUUUUUUACUUUAUUGUAAUAAGUCAUUAUUUUGAGGAUUUUUACUUUGAGAAAAUUAGAGUGUUUCUAGCAGGCUUACGCUUUUGAAUACUGCAGCAUGGAAUAAUAAGAUAGGAUUUUAGUUCUACAUUAUUGGUUUUAAGAACUAAAUUAAUGAUUGAUAGGG